GUGCACAUGAGGGUAGGUCGAUGAAUUUCCCCAAAAUCGAAACUUAAGACACUGAGUUUGCGCAGUAGGUCCAGUCAAGCCCGGUGACAGGCAGAACUAUCCGGUGUUCAGAGUUUAGGCGGGGAAGCGGAAGAAACAGCAGCCCGAAGAAAACCAGCCCGGAAAGUGGAACAAGGCUGUUUAUGUGUCUGCUUUUUGUCAAGACACAGGGUGUUUGGCAGCAGAUGGUUCCUUAUCAACUAAAGACACUACUGCUGAGGAUGUGAGAUGGAAGUCGAUAAGAAAGGUGAAACACCAACAUUGAUAAUCUGAUGGAAAGGAAAAGAAGAUCAUGGCUGACAAACUUGACCCAUCACCCGAGGUUUGGACCGAAUCUCAAGUCAGCACCUGGCUGAAAUCGAUUGGAGUGAAGGAGCAGUACAUAAAAAAGCUUUAUGAGGAAGAAGUAAACGGACAAAUCCUUCUUACAUUAAAUGAGGAGUUUUUAAAGGCUAAGAUUUGCAUGAAAUCAGGGCCUGCUCAUUUGAUCAUUCAAAAGAGAGAUGAGCUCACAAACCCAAAGCAACAAGAGGUUAAGCAAGAGAGGAAAAAGCCCACCAGUGGUAAAAACACUGAGUUGGAAUUGAAAUCAGUUCAGUGUGUUCCUACAGCAAGUGGAGGCCCUCCUGCACAGACUCAUGAGAGUCUUGAAGAUAUCUUAAAAGAGAGACAAACUUCAACUUCAAAGGAAGAUUGCAGACCUCGACCAUUUGAUCAAGAAGGGAUUGAUUUCAUGUAUGUAAAGCACAGAGUCCUGCAACCAGAAUCAGGUGCUUUUAAUCUGACAUCUCCAUGCCAUGAAUUUAAGUCAUUUGCCAUAGCUGCUGCAUUGGAUCGCACAAGACUCCAAGCUAAGUUUGCAAAAGAGGUCCUUAAAUUUGCCACUGGCUGUAUGAACAUUAGAUCAAAUGGUACAAUACACUUUGGUGUGAUGGACAGCAAGGAGGAUGCAGGUUAUGUGCAUGGUGAGAUAAUUGGUAUCCCUGUGAAAGAGAGAGAUAUUUUUGUAGAUGCUUUGGACUACAUUGAAAGAAGUGUCUGUUCUGAUAAGGAGCAUGUACGCCAGUGUGUGCGGCCUCCAAGGUUCAUUGAAGUUAUGGACAGGGAAAGUACAGAAAAGAAGUAUGUGGUAGAGGUUGACAUUGUGCCUUCUAUUAGUAUUGUUAAAAGCAAGGUGUAUGCAGUU
Non-coding RNA from Labrus bergylta (ballan wrasse), 1225 nucleotides. The record is from RefSeq and is a predicted model, not a curated record. Lineage: Eukaryota; Metazoa; Chordata; Actinopteri; Labriformes; Labridae.